This 1475-nucleotide unclassified non-coding RNA is filed under the name Hevea brasiliensis (rubber tree). Lineage: Eukaryota; Viridiplantae; Streptophyta; Magnoliopsida; Malpighiales; Euphorbiaceae. The record is from RNAcentral.
CUCAGGCGUCGCUAGGGUUUCCUCCUCUCAUCGGAGCUAGGGUUCCGGCGAGCAAGCACAGGAUGUUCGGGCGGCAGCCGAAGAAGAGCGACAGCACGCGCUACUACGAAAUCCUCGGCGUUCAGAAGGAUGCGUCGCCGGAUGACCUCAAGAAGGCGUACCGCAAGGCCGCCAUCAAGAACCACCCCGAUAAGGGCGGCGAUCCCGAAAAGUUCAAGGAGUUGGCUCAGGCUUAUGAGGUUUUGAGUGACCCUGAGAAACGUGAGAUUUAUGAUCAAUAUGGAGAGGAUGCCCUCAAGGAAGGAAUGGGCGGCGGUGGCGGCGGCCAUGAUCCAUUUGAUAUCUUCCAAUCCUUCUUUGGUGGGAGCCCCUUUGGAGGUGGUGGAAGCAGCCGUGGACGCAGGCAAAGGAGGGGAGAGGAUGUGGUUCAUCCUCUCAAGGUAUCUCUUGAGGACCUGUACAAUGGGACUUCGAAGAAGCUCUCCCUUUCUCGCAAUGUCAUUUGUUCUAAAUGCAAGGGAAAAGGGUCAAAAUCUGGUGCUUCAAUGAAAUGUGCUGGGUGCCAGGGAUCUGGUAUGAAGGUCUCAAUCCGUCAGCUAGGACCUUCCAUGAUUCAGCAGAUGCAGCACCCUUGCAAUGAGUGCAAGGGCACAGGAGAAAGUAUUAAUGACAAAGACCGCUGCCCGCAGUGCAAGGGUGAGAAGGUUGUUCAGGAAAAGAAAGUCUUGGAGGUGCAUGUUGAAAAGGGUAUGCAGAAUGGCCAGAAGAUAACCUUCCCUGGAGAGGCUGAUGAAGCGCCUGAUUGCGUCACUGGUGAUAUUGUGUUUGUCCUCCAACAAAAAGAUCACCCUAAAUUCAAGAGAAAGGGUGAUGAUUUGUUUGUUGAACACACACUCUCCCUUACUGAAGCCCUCUGUGGUUUUAGGUUUGUGUUGACCCAUUUAGAUAAUCGGCAGCUGCUAAUUAAAUCCGAGCCCGGUGAAGUUGUCAAGCCUGAUCAAUUCAAGGCAAUAAAUGAUGAGGGUAUGCCAAUGUAUCAGAGGCCCUUCAUGAGGGGGAAGCUUUACAUCCACUUCACAGUUGACUUCCCUGACUCACUGACGCCUGACCAGGUUAAGGCUCUUGAGAGUGUGCUGCCGUCGAGGGCUGCAUCACAGCUGACUGAUAUGGAGUUGGAUGAAUGUGAGGAGACAACUAUGCAUGAUGUCAACAUUGAGGAUGAGAUGAGGAGGAAGCAGUCGCAGGCCCAGGAGGCUUAUGAUGAAGAUGAGGACAUGCCGGGAGGUGCUCAAAGGGUGCAGUGCGCUCAGCAGUAAGGAGAUGAUGAUGAUAGCUGGAUGUUUAGGAUCUGAAUAUGCUGUCAGUUAACUUUUAUCCACUCUAUAUUUUUAUGGUAUAUCAUAAUUGUCCCCUCGUUCAGUCGUUACAGAUCUGAACUUGUAACUUCUUGCUUAAGACUACCCUGGUUUUAUAAG